This 262-nucleotide unclassified non-coding RNA is filed under the name plant metagenome. RNAcentral describes it as "partial contains small subunit ribosomal RNA, internal transcribed spacer 1, and 5.8S ribosomal RNA". The record is from RNAcentral.
UCUCCGUUGGUGAACCAGCGGAGGGAUCAUUACCGAGUUUACAACUCCCAAACCCCUAUGUGAACGUUACCAAACUGUUGCCUCGGCGGGAAAUUCAUGCCCCGGGCGCGUCGCAGCCCCGGACCAUGGCGCCCGCCGGAGGACCAACCAAAACUCUUUUGUAUGUCCCUCGCGGACUUUUAUAAUUCUGAACCAUCUCGGCGCCCCUAGCGGGCGUUUCGAAAAUGAAUCAAAACUUUCAACAACGGAUCUCUUGGUUCUG